UAGACCUUUCAUCAUUUUUGUUGCUCUUCUCUGGACUUUCUCCAAUAUGUCCACAUCUUUCCUGAAAUCUGGUGCCCAGAACUGGACACAGUAUUCCAGUGGAGGCCUAAUUAGCAAUGGAAUAGAGCAGAAUUCCUUCUUUUGUCUUGCUUACAACACUCCCGCUAAUACAUUCCAGAAUCAUGUUUGCUUUUUUUGCAAUCGUGUUUCCAUGUUGACUCAUAUUUAGCUUAUGAUCCACUAUAACCCCCAGAUCCCUUUCCGCAGUACUUCCUAGGCAGUCAUUUCCCAAUUUGUCUGCGUGCAGCUGAUUAUUCCUUCAUAAGUGGAGUACUUUGGUCUUUUAAUGAGAUGGAUUCUAUUUUGGCUUCUGCGUCGUCAACAGAAAUGGUAACUAAAUUUAAUUGACAGGAUCUUUAUUACUAGUUAUUCAAGAGACAGAAAGGAAACAUUGAUUUUCAGGUGUGAGGUUGAGUGUGCAGUUUUGGUGGUUAGAAAAACUGUUUUAACUUGUACACAGAACAGAUUUGCUGACCAGUAACAGUCAGUAGUCCUUGAAGGCCAUAAUGCCACCUAUACAGACAAGCGCCAUUUGCUUUUCAGAGUGUAACAAAGCUCUGUCUUUGCAACAUUUUGUGACAUGUAUACCAUGCGCUAUCAAGGCUAUGCAAUACCUUAGUUGAAAAACUAGGCUGUAACCUGCCUUUCAUUUGCAUGUGAGUCUUGUCACGUCACAAAAAGUUGCAUUCAUGUCUCAUUUUAGGUCAGCAAGUUCCUUUCAGCUAUAUUCUGUUAUACAUGAGGUUUGGAACUAAUGAAAAGGAUCAAGUUAAAAUUCACAUGUUUAUAGUACACACAUUUCCUUAGUUCUGUCAGUAAUGUUAGAGAAUUAAAUCUGAAGGGAUUUUGAAACUCAUUUCUUUUUCUUGUUUACAUUUUGACUUGACUCAGCAUUGACGAAGAAAAUAGAGUUGUCCAUUUCACUUUGUGGCCUUAAUAUUACUCAGUGUCUGUUAAAUUAAAUAUUUCAAAUGUACAAUGGUAACUUUUAUACUAACUUGGAUUGCUUAUAAAAUGAAAGUUAAUGUCCAUAGUGUAUCUGCACAAGUGAAAGCAAUACAGGUGCUGAUUUCACAAGUGCACAGUUCCUGGAUUGCAGCAGGCUAAACAGUUUGGAAAAUCUGGCCACACAUAUAGUAUCUGGAUGAGUGUAUGCCAUACAUUUCUCUAUAGACAAGACAAAGAUCUCAAAUUUACAUAAUGUUACUGAGGAUGGAAUUUGAGUAUCUCAGAAUUUUUGCUAAUUUCUGAAUUAGCUCAAAUGUGUCAAAUAACAUUUAAACAGAGAGUUCUCUGUUGAAUGUAUGCCUGAAGAUGCCCAUGUAUUUUUUUCUGUUUCAGCUAACACAUGGUUCAUGCUGCUCUUAAUGAGCCAAAUUCAGUGCUGAUGUAAACAGUGAAACAACACUUUUAUAUAAAUGGAAGAAAUUCCAUCAAAACCGCUUUGGGAUUUAGCUCAAUAAAUUCAGUGUGCAGGAGUCCUGACAUAUUACAGUAGUGACUGUCUCAGAGUAAACAUUGUGAUGUAGAUUUCCUCAGUUCUAUGCAGAAUUUUAUUACUCUCUCCCCGUGGGGAAUUUUAACCAUCUCCACUAUCCUAAAUGAAAACAAAUCUGCCUUCCACAAUGCAAAACUGCAAAAGGCUGUAAGGUUAGCUGUGUAAUAUAUGAAUGAUUUUAGUAAGCAACAUAAAAAAGACAAAAUCCCACACAAGAUCCAUUGCAUUGUAGUGCAACUUUGUUUUAAUAAUCCUCACAAUCUGUGCCCUGUUCAGUAAAUAAUUUAUCCAGAAUCAAAAGCACUGCUCUGAGAGCCAUAUCAGUAGAAGCUAUCUCAAUCUUUUUGUUGGGGUACUAGGAGGUUUCCAUCUGUUCUGUUUCUUAUCCACACUUGUGAACUUCUGGUAUACACUGCACAUGGAAAAAUAUUCUAAAGACUGCUGAAAUUACUGAUCGGUAUACAGAACAGUUGUUCUUUGGUCUGCUCUCUUAAACUGGAAAGUCAAGAUCUUAAUACAGUUUUCUUUCAUUAGCAAUUAGUUAGAAAAUCCUGUCAGUUCCUAGAGUUUGAGUUCCCAUUUUACUGUUGCUGGAAUGAAAUGAAUUUUCAGGGUGUCUAUGUGAAGAAACAUGAAAGGAGAUUGAUGUUGUUAACACUUUGUUGAAGUGCACAACUUUUUCCUUUGGGGAAUAUAAAGCAUUAUAUUGUGGCUAAGAAUGUGCAGUUUCCAUCACAGUAUUUUUAGAGGUAUUGGUCAAAGAGUUUACAAUCUAAGCAUAUGAUGGGACAACUGGUGCAUGACAGAGGAGGUGUUAUGCACAUAAGGGAAUAUGUCAUUAUUUGCAAGAACAUGGGGUGGGAUUUUCCAAAACACCUAAGGGAAUUAGGUGAGCAAUUCCCAUGGAAGAUGCAUGGAAGUUGACAGCUAACUUCUUAAAUGGCUUUUGAAAAUCACACCCAGGAUCUUUUUUUCACAUAUAGGAUGUGCUUUCCACUGUUUAAGUGGUAUGUGUUCAUGGUGUGUUCUCCCCCUCUGUGUGUCUUCAUCAUGGACCAAAUCCUGAGGACCCUGACAUGCUCAGCAUCAAGCUCUCAGCUGUUACUCAUUCAAACUCCCUUGGACUGGGUACUUGCGACCUGUGUCUGUGUAAGUACUAUACAGGCAGCCAACUUUUACACAGAUGGAAUAGAGCUGUGCACAACUUCAACUGAAAUCGGACAGUAAGCACCAUUUAAAUCUUUAGCACAAUUUGCUUCUUCCCCUGGCAAGACCCUCAGCGUAACCCCUCAGAUUUGUUUUCCUUUUUUACCCAUGCUUCAUGCAGACCUGACAUCUGCUAAUUUUUUUGCGCUGUUCAUGCCCUUCUUUAAGGGUUUCUGACAGAGAAGCAGAGACAAACUGCAAUUCUGGCCUGACGAUUGUUAACCAGAAGCUAUA
Molecule: long non-coding RNA, 2998 nt
Organism: Chelonia mydas (Green sea turtle)
Lineage: Eukaryota; Metazoa; Chordata; Testudines; Cheloniidae
Exons: 2
Source: RefSeq, a predicted model, not a curated record